RNAcentral lists this ribosomal RNA (492 nucleotides) under uncultured bacterium. RNAcentral describes it as "partial 16S ribosomal RNA". It matches the Rfam family "Bacterial small subunit ribosomal RNA", at positions 29 to 507 of the family's 1533-position model. The record is from RNAcentral.
AGUGAACGCUGGCGGUAGGCCUAACACAUGCAAGUCGAACGGCAGCACAGUAAGAUCUUGCUCUUACGGGUGGCGAGUGGCGGACGAGUGAGGAAUACAUCGGAAUCUACUUUUUCGUGGGGGAUAACGUAGGGAAACUUACGCUAAUACCGCAUACGACCUACGGGUGAAAGCAGGGGAUCUUCGGACCUUGCGCGAUUGAAUGAGCCGAGGUCGGAUUAGCUAGUUGGCGGGGUAAAGGCCCACCAAGGCGACGAUCCGUAGCUGGUCUGAGAGGAUGAUCGGCCACACUGGAACUGAGACACGGUCCAGACUCCUACGGGAGGCAGCAGUGGGGAAUAUUGGACAAUGGGCGAAAGCCUGAUCCAGCCAUACCGCGUGGGUGAAGAAGGCCUUCGGGUUGUAAAGCCCUUUUGUUGGGAAAGAAAAGCAGCAGGUUAAUACCCCGCUGUUCUGACGGUACCCAAAGAAUAAGCACCGGCUAACUUCGUG